RNAcentral lists this ribosomal RNA (409 nucleotides) under uncultured eukaryote. Its description in RNAcentral is "SSU rRNA". It matches the Rfam family "Eukaryotic small subunit ribosomal RNA", at positions 592 to 1018 of the family's 1831-position model. The record is from RNAcentral.
CAAUAGCGUAUAUUAAAGUUGUUGCAGUUAAAAGCUCGUAGUUGAACUUCUGUACAUUCCCAGAUCUGGCGCUUGCGCCGAGCUGGGGGUGUGCAUCCGCUUGCAAACCUAGACCGGUCUUUACUGAUCGACUAGGGGAGUAAGCCCUUUACUUUGAAAAAUUAGAGUGUUUCAGGCAGGCAAUGGCUCGAAUACAUUAGCAUGGAAUAAUGGAAUAGGACUUUUGUCCAUUUUAUUGGUUAUUGGACAUGAGUAAUGAUUAACAGGGACAGUUGGGGGCAUUAGUAUUUAAUUGUCAGAGGUGAAAUUCUUGGAUUUAUUAAAGACUAACUUAUGCGAAAGCAUUUGCCAAGGAUGUUUUCAUUAAUCAAGAACGAAAGUUAGGGGAUCAAAGAUGAUCAGAUACCGU